RNAcentral lists this small RNA (132 nucleotides) under Escherichia coli. Its description in RNAcentral is "RtT sRNA". It matches the Rfam family "RtT RNA". Rfam says of the family: This family represents a bacterial cis-regulatory element known as RtT RNA. The exact function of RtT is unknown although it is thought that it may be involved in changing the cellular response in relation to amino acid starvation. Lineage: Bacteria; Pseudomonadati; Pseudomonadota; Gammaproteobacteria; Enterobacterales; Enterobacteriaceae. The record is from RNAcentral.
AUUCUGCCCAUGCGGGGAAGGACGAGAAGCUUCGACCAAGGUUCGACUCGAGCGUCAGCGAGAGAGCGUUGCCGCAGGCAACGACCCGUAGGGCGAAGCUCGCAGCGCUGAGUAAUCCUUCCCCCACCACCA